RNAcentral lists this ribosomal RNA (253 nucleotides) under uncultured bacterium. Its description in RNAcentral is "partial 16S ribosomal RNA". It matches the Rfam family "Bacterial small subunit ribosomal RNA", at positions 524 to 776 of the family's 1533-position model. The record is from RNAcentral.
UACGGAGGGGGCAAGCGUUGUUCGGAAUCAUUGGGCGUAAAGGGCGCGUAGGCGGUCACGCACGUCCGUUGUGAAAUCGCUCGGCUCAACUGGGCGGGGUCAGCGGAUACGGCGUGGCUGGAGCAAGCUAGGGGGCAAUGGAAUUCCCGGUGUAGUGGUGGAAUGCGUAGAUAUCGGGAGGAACACCAGUGGCGAAGGCGGUUGCCUGGAGCUUUGCUGACGCUGAUGCGCGAAAGCGUGGGGAGCGGUCCGG